This 107-nucleotide small nuclear RNA is filed under the name Dasypus novemcinctus (nine-banded armadillo). Lineage: Eukaryota; Metazoa; Chordata; Mammalia; Cingulata; Dasypodidae. The record is from RNAcentral.
GUGCUCGCUUCGGCAGCGCAUAUGCUAAAACGGGAACGACGCAGAGAAGAGCAGCACGGCCCCUGCGCAAGGAUGACACGCCAAUUCAUGAACCAUUCCAUAUUAAA